Molecule: small RNA, 1091 nt
Filed under: Rattus norvegicus (Norway rat)
Lineage: Eukaryota; Metazoa; Chordata; Mammalia; Rodentia; Muridae
Description: uncharacterized LOC102547959
Source: RNAcentral
CAUCAACUUUUGGAUUAUGAGGUACAGCAGCAGUUGGCAGCCCAACUUGAAGACUGGAAGUCUUUACUGCUUCGUCAUUGAAAGAAUAAGAGGCAAAUCGUGAAGAUGUAAACCAGUGAUGCUGGAAAGGAGAUGCUCUUCAGGACCACUCUUCUGAAGACCUCUAUUGGACACUUUGUUGCUUAAGGCAGCCAAACCUGGUAUUAUGAGCGUCACCUAAGUGGUUGAUUUUGAAGACCUGAGGGAGUUGUGGAGAAGAGCUGAGAUUUGGUACUGUGAGGGCUUACAGGAGGUCACUGGUGAAGAUGAAGCAUCUGUGCAGUUCAAGAUCCAGGACUGAAGAGGUCAUGCAGAGGUUGCGGUUCAGCACCAUGGAAAGAACCAGGAGAGGCUAUUGGUGAAAGUGCAGCCCAGUGGCAGCGGGAGAGGACUGGCAAGGAGAGCAGCAGCUCUGACAUCAAGGCAAUCUAUGCGACAUACUCAUAUCACAUAGCAGCACUUAUACUCAUAUCACACAGCAGCACUUAUACCCAUAUCACACAGCAGCACUUAUACUCAUAUCACACAGCAGCACUUAUACCCAUAUCACACAGCAGCACUUAUACCCAUAUCACACAGCAGCACUUAUACCCAUAUCACACAGCAGCACUUUGGAGUCCCAAACCUGAUCUGAGUUCUAUACUGCUGAACUUUGGUUUGACUCGAAUGUGACUCCAACUGUGCUCUGGUUCUUCCCUGAUAGAGUAAGAAAUUAUUUAAUUUAUUUUGAUUUUAUAGGAGCCCACAGUUAAGAGACUGGAUUUUUAGAGUUUUCCAUAGACAUGGGAUUUUAAAAGAGAAGUUGGAGAUUUUGUUUUGUUUUUGUUUGUUUUUUUAAGAAACUGAACUUUUAAAUAUUUGAAUUGGUAAAGGUUGUGGAAUUUUUAGCCUAUGUUUGUAUUUUGAUAUUAAAAUGAGGUAGAAGGAAAAGAACUGAAUCCUGCAAAUUGUUCUUCAAUCUUCAUUUACACUAUAGCAUGCCCUUGUGUGGCUGAUCCCCAUAAUCCUAUACAUAAAUACAUAAAAAUAAAAGCCCAUGAGUCUGUGGUCAU